This 261-nucleotide ribosomal RNA is filed under the name uncultured archaeon. Its description in RNAcentral is "partial 16S ribosomal RNA". It matches the Rfam family "Archaeal small subunit ribosomal RNA", at positions 721 to 982 of the family's 1478-position model. The record is from RNAcentral.
CACUGACAUUAGAUACCCCUGUAGUCCCAGCCGUAAACUAUGCGCGUUAGGUGUAUCGGUGACCACGAGUUACCGAGGUGCCGAAGGGAAACCGUGAAACGUGCCGCCUGGGAAGUACGGUCGCAAGGCUGAAACUUAAAGGAAUUGGCGGGGAGCACCACAACAGGUGGAGCCUGCGGUUUAAUUGGACUCAGCGCCGGGAAGCUCACCGGAUAGGACAGCAGAAUGAUUGCCGGGCUGAAGACCCUGCAUGACUAGCUG